Long non-coding RNA from Etheostoma spectabile (orangethroat darter), 292 nucleotides. RefSeq lists it as uncharacterized. The transcript has 3 exons. Lineage: Eukaryota; Metazoa; Chordata; Actinopteri; Perciformes; Percidae. The record is from RefSeq and is a predicted model, not a curated record.
AAGGUUGGCUAAUAUAGCCUUACAAUAAUAAAACGGUGAGGACAUCAUCAGUCAAAUCUCAAGAUACCCGCGCACUUAGCUAAACUAAUGCAAUCAUACAGUAUAGCAUGCCUACUUCUUCUAUUGUUGGAGUGUUAUCAUCAAAAGUUUGUCCACCACUUGUUUUUGGCUCAGUUUUAUUAAGGGGCAACAUGUUUUAAGGGGAGUUCUGCUUACCGCAGGUUGUACCCUCACUCCCUCAUCUCUGUCCCUCUCCUCCUAAAUCUCCUCCUCACUGCCACUGCCACGGACA